ACACCUCAACCCUUGUGGCUUGCCAUGAUGGGCUUGGACUUUGGGGGUCUUGUUGGCCUGUGAGCCAGCUCCUCUUAAAUGGAUUAGCUUGCCGGUGUUUGGUGGCGUCACAGGUGUGAUAACUAUCUACGCUUGUGGUUUUCCACCAGGUAACCUCCAGUGAUGGAGGUUCGCUGGAGCUCACAAAUGUCUCUCCUUGCGAGGACGAUUUCUGAAC
Molecule: unclassified non-coding RNA, 217 nt
Filed under: uncultured Tomentella
Lineage: Eukaryota; Fungi; Basidiomycota; Agaricomycetes; Thelephorales; Thelephoraceae
Description: sequence contains ITS2
Source: RNAcentral